GAUGAACGCUGGCGGCGUGCCUAAUACAUGCAAGUCGAGCGAACAGACGAGGAGCUUGCUCCUCUGACGUUAGCGGCGGACGGGUGAGUAACACGUGGAUAACCUACCUAUAAGACUGGGAUAACUUCGGGAAACCGGAGCUAAUACCGGAUAAUAUAUUGAACCGCAUGGUUCAAUAGUGAAAGACGGUUUUGCUGUCACUUAUAGAUGGAUCCGCGCCGCAUUAGCUAGUUGGUAAGGUAACGGCUUACCAAGGCGACGAUGCGUAGCCGACCUGAGAGGGUGAUCGGCCACACUGGAACUGAGACACGGUCCAGACUCCUACGGGAGGCAGCAGUAGGGAAUCUUCCGCAAUGGGCGAAAGCCUGACGGAGCAACGCCGCGUGAGUGAUGAAGGUCUUCGGAUCGUAAAACUCUGUUAUUAGGGAAGAACAAAUGUGUAAGUAACUAUGCACGUCUUGACGGUACCUAAUCAGAAAGCCACGGCUAACUACGG
RNAcentral lists this ribosomal RNA (496 nucleotides) under uncultured bacterium. RNAcentral's name for it is "partial 16S ribosomal RNA". It matches the Rfam family "Bacterial small subunit ribosomal RNA", at positions 28 to 506 of the family's 1533-position model. The record is from RNAcentral.